UGAACGCUGGCGGUAGGCCUAACACAUGCAAGUCGACCGGCAGCACAGUAAGAGCUUGCUCUUACGGGUGGCGAGUGGCGGACGGGUGAGGAAUACAUCGGAAUCUACCUUUUCGUGGGAGAUAACGUAGGGAAACUUACGCUAAUACCGCAUACGACCUACGGGUGAAAGCAGGGGAUCUUCGGACCUUGCGCGAUUGAAUGAGCCGAUGUCGGAUUAGCUAGUUGGCGGGGUAAAGGCCCACCAAGGCGACGAUCCGUAGCUGGUCUGAGAGGAUGAUCAGCCACACUGGAACUGAGACACGGUCCAGACUCCUACGGGAGGCAGCAGUGGGGAAUAUUGGACAAUGGGCGCAAGCCUGAUCCAGCCAUACCGCGUGGGUGAAGAAGGCCUUCGGGUUGUAAAGCCCUUUUGUUGGGAAAGAAAAGCAGCAGGUUAAUACCCCGCUGUUCUGACGGUACCCAAAGAAUAAGCACCGGCUAACUUCGUG
This 490-nucleotide ribosomal RNA is filed under the name uncultured bacterium. RNAcentral describes it as "partial 16S ribosomal RNA". It matches the Rfam family "Bacterial small subunit ribosomal RNA", at positions 30 to 507 of the family's 1533-position model. The record is from RNAcentral.